GUGGGGAAUCUUCCGCAAUGGACGAAAGUCUGACGGAGCGACGCCGCGUGAGUGAAGAAGGCCUUCGGGUCGUAAAGCUCUGUCAUCAGGGACGAACGGCCGGUGGAGUGGAAAGCCACCGGAUUGACGGUACCUGAGAAGGAAGCCACGGCUAACUACGUGCCAGCAGCCGCGGUAAUACGUAGGUGGCAAGCGUUGUCCGGAAUUAUUGGGCGUAAAGCGCGCGCAGGUGGGAUCUGAAGUCCAUUUUUAAAGUUCGGAGCUCAACUCCGUGAUGGGAUGGAAACUGGGAUUCUUGAGUACCGGAGAGGAAAGCGGAAUUCCCCGUGUAGCGGUGAAAUGCGUAGAUAUGGGGAGGAACACCAGUGGCGAAGGCGGCUUUCUGGACGGUGUCUGACACUGAGGCGCGAAAGCCAGGGGAGCGAACGGGAUUAGAAACCCCGGUAGUCC
RNAcentral lists this ribosomal RNA (450 nucleotides) under uncultured bacterium. Its description in RNAcentral is "partial 16S ribosomal RNA". It matches the Rfam family "Bacterial small subunit ribosomal RNA", at positions 354 to 796 of the family's 1533-position model. The record is from RNAcentral.